This 23-nucleotide microRNA is filed under the name Equus caballus (horse). RNAcentral describes it as "eca-miR-8995". Lineage: Eukaryota; Metazoa; Chordata; Mammalia; Perissodactyla; Equidae. The record is from miRBase by way of RNAcentral.
GGUGACGUAUUCCUGUUGACAUG